CACAUCCAACAGGCCACCAGGAAUACCAAACUGGCCAUCUGAGAAUGAGGACCUUGGAGAGGACAGACUUCCCCAGCCAAAGUACAGAGCCCUGCCAACACAGGAACAGGGGGAUCCGGUUCAAGUCUACCUUGUGUGCCCUGAUGUGACAAUAUUUUGGUGCUGGGCCAGGACUGCUUCAGUCAUCGUCCUGAUCUCCCUGUGAAGGUCCAUGUCUUCAUCUCUAUCCACAGACUGUACCACGCUGACUCUCAAGAACAUAAGAACUGCCUUGUGGAUCAAGACUAGAAGGUCCACCUCUUCAGGCAUCUUGGUUCCAACUGUGGCCAGUCAAAUGCUUCUGGGAAGCCCACAAGUAGGACAUGAAAGUCCAUCGCUGCUGCUUGUUCUUCAGCAAGUGGUCUUAAGAGGCCCACUGCCCCUGAAUCUUGGAGGUUCAAUUUAGCCAUAAUGGCCAAUAGCUGUAGAUAGACCAGUCUUCCAUGUCUUUGACUAAAGGUAAAGUGUGCUGUUAAAUUGCGGCUGAUUCAUGGCAACCAGUAUUCUCUCUAAGCUGAGUUAGUGUGAGCUAGCUCACAAUUUUUUAGCCUCUGGCUCACACAUUUUUGUCUUAGCUCAGGAAAAAUGGCCCCAGAACAAAGUAAAUUUAUGCGGUAGUUCACAAUUUUAAUGUCAGUAGCUUACAAAGUAGAAUUUUUGUUCAAAAGACUCUGCAGCUUAGAGGGAGUAUCGAUGGAGACCCAGUGAAGUUCCGCCUCAUGGGUCUUUCAAGGCAAGAGAUGAGCAGAGGUAGCUUGCCAUUCCCUUCCUCUGCAUAACAACCCUGGACUUCCUUGGUGGUCUCCCAUCCAAAUACUGAUCAUGGUCAACCCUGCUUAGCUUCCAAGCUGUGAUGAAUUCAGGCUUGUCUGGUCUAUUUGGGCUGCUCCAUAUCUUUGUCUAAUCCCCUUUUAAAGUCAUCUAAGUUAAAUGGCAGUGAGUUCCAUAAGUGUAUUUAUGCAUUGUCAGGGGAAGUAUUACCUGUUGUUUUACAUGAAUCUACUGCCAAUCCAUUUUACCAGGGGACCUGAAGUACUAG
This is a long non-coding RNA of Heteronotia binoei (common prickly gecko), 1078 nucleotides long. RefSeq lists it as uncharacterized. The transcript has 2 exons. The record is from RefSeq and is a predicted model, not a curated record. NCBI's taxonomy places the organism in Eukaryota, Metazoa, Chordata, Lepidosauria, Squamata, Gekkonidae.